RNAcentral lists this unclassified non-coding RNA (240 nucleotides) under soil metagenome. RNAcentral describes it as "partial contains 5.8S ribosomal RNA, internal transcribed spacer 2, and large subunit ribosomal RNA". The record is from RNAcentral.
AACACUGUUAACCUGCGGUACCUGCGGAAGGAUCAUUACAGAGUUGCAAAACUCCCUAAACCAUUGUGAACGUUACCUAAACCGUUGCUUCGGCGGGCGGCCCGGGUCCUUCCCGGCGCCCCUCGGCCCUCGCGGGCGCCCGCCGGAGGUAAACCAAACUAUUGCAUUGUAUGGCCUCUCUGAGUCUUCUGUACUGAAUAAGUCAAAACUUUUAACAAUGGAUCUCAGAUCGGAAGAGCA